UGGGGAAUCUUGCGCAAUGGGCGAAAGCCUGACGCAGCGACGCCGCGUGAGGGAAGAAGGCCUUCGGGUUGUAAACCUCUUUCAGCAGGGACGAAGCCACUCAGGUUAAUAGCCGAGAGGGUGACGGUACCUGCAGAAGAAGCCCCGGCUAACUACGUGCCAGCAGCCGCGGUAAUACGUAGGGGGCAAGCGUUGUCCGGAUUUAUUGGGCGUAAAGAGCGUGUAGGCGGUUAGAUAGGUCUGCUGUGAAAACUCCAGGCUCAACCUGGAGACGUCGGUGGAAACCAUCUAGCUAGAGUCCGGAAGAGGAGAGUGGAAUUCCUGGUGUAGCGGUGAAAUGCGCAGAUAUCAGGAAGAACACCCGUGGCGAAGGCGGCUCUCUGGGACGGUACUGACGCUGAGACGCGAAAGCGUGGGGAGCGAACAG
This 427-nucleotide ribosomal RNA is filed under the name uncultured bacterium. RNAcentral describes it as "bacterial SSU rRNA". It matches the Rfam family "Bacterial small subunit ribosomal RNA", at positions 355 to 775 of the family's 1533-position model. The record is from RNAcentral.